GACGAACGCUGGCGGCGUGCUUAACACAUGCAAGUCGAACGGAAAGGCCUUUUCGGAGGUACUCGAGUGGCGAACGGGUGAGUAACACGUGGGUGAUCUGCCCUGCACUCUGGGAUAAGCCUGGGAAACUGGGUCUAAUACCGGAUAGGACCGCACUUUAGUGUGUGUGGUGGAAAGUUUUUCGGUGUAGGAUGAGCCCGCGGCCUAUCAGCUUGUUGGUGGGGUAAUGGCCUACCAAGGCGGCGACGGGUAGCCGGACUGAGAGGUUGGUCGGCCACAUUGGGACUGAGAUACGGCCCAGACUCCUACGGGAGGCAGCAGUGGGGAAUAUUGCACAAUGGGCGCAAGCCUGAUGCAGCGACGCCGCGUGGGGGAUGACGGCCUUCGGGUUGUAAACUCCUUUCGCCAGGGACGAAGCGUUUUGUGACGGUACCUGGAGAAGAAGCACCGGCUAACUACGUG
Molecule: ribosomal RNA, 462 nt
Filed under: uncultured bacterium
Lineage: Bacteria
Description: partial 16S ribosomal RNA
Rfam family: Bacterial small subunit ribosomal RNA
Source: RNAcentral